RNAcentral lists this ribosomal RNA (1577 nucleotides) under Adelastes hylonomos (Neblina frog). Its description in RNAcentral is "16S ribosomal RNA". The record is from RNAcentral. Lineage: Eukaryota; Metazoa; Chordata; Amphibia; Anura; Microhylidae.
CAACAACCUAGCCCCACCAACCCAAAUGAAACUACUACCCCCCCCGCCAUGAAAUAAAACAUUUUACAUUUAAGUAAGGGCGACCAAAAAAAGUAUCCGGAGCUACGACAUAAGUACCGUAAGGGAAAGCUGAAAUAAAAAUGAAAAACAUCAAGCACAACAAAGUAGAGAAUUAACCUCGUACCUUUCGCAUCAUGGUUUAGCUAGUACAACCAAGCACAAUGAAACUUAAGUUUGACCCCCCGAAACUAAGCGAGCUACUUCAAAACAGCCUCCUAGGGCCAACCCGUCUCUGUUGCAAAAGAGUGGGAAGAUUUUCAAGUAGAAGUGACAGACCUACCGAGCUUAGAGAUAGCUGGUUAUUCAGGAAAAGGAUGUAAGUCCUACCUUAAGUUAAUAGUAAAAAAUAAUACUACCAACAACUUAAGAGCUAUUCUAAUAAGGUACAGCCUGUUAGAAAAAGAAGACAAUCUACAACUCAGGGUAAUGACCCAACUAGGAACAAAGUGGGCCUAAAAGCAGCCAACUUUCAAAAAACGUCAAAGCUUACUUCCUCAGUACUCAAAUUCCUAAACCCUUACAAAACCCUAMCCAACUACUGAAUGAUUUCAUAUAACUAUGAAAGACCCAAUGCUAAAACAAGUAACAAGAAGAAGCCCUUCUCCUAAAUGUAAAUGUAAGCCGACACGAACAAUUCAUCGACAAUUAUAGUAUUUGAAUUUAAAGUAGAAACCACCCAAGAAAACCCUACUUUGCUAAACUUUAACCUGACACAAGAACAUUACAGGAAAGAUUAAAAGAAAAGGAAGGAACUCGGCAAACCUAAGACCCCGCCUGUUUACCAAAAACAUCGCCUCCUGAAAACCAUAGGAGGUCCCGCCUGCCCAGUGACACCUGUUCAACGGCCGCGGUACCCUAACCGUGCGAAGGUAGCGCAAUCACUUGUUCCUUAAAUGGGGACCUGUAUGAAUGGCACCACGAAGGUCAAGCUGUCUCCCUUUUCCAAUCAGUUAAACUAAUCUCCCCGUGAAGAAGCGAGGAUAAAAAUAUAAGACGAGAAGACCCCAUGGAGCUUAAAACUCAGUAUCAACUGCCAUUAACACACCAUAUAAGCCAGGCAGACAUGCUAAUACUAGUUUUCGGUUGGGGUGACCACGGAGCAAAACAAAACCUCCACGACGAAAGGAACUGCCUACCUAAUCAAAGAACAACGCUUCAAAGAAUCAAUAAUUUGACAUAUUGACCCAAACACUUGAUCAACGAACCAAGUUACCCUGGGGAUAACAGCGCAAUCCACUUCAAGAGCCCCUAUCGACAAGUGGGUUUACGACCUCGAUGUUGGAUCAGGGUCUCCUAGUGGUGCAGCCGCUACUAAAGGUUCGUUUGUUCAACGAUUAAAACCCUACGUGAUCUGAGUUCAGACCGGAGUAAUCCAGGUCGGUUUCUAUCUAUACAGAGUUUUUCCCAGUACGAAAGGACCCGAAUAACAUGGCCAAUUUCUAAUACGCCAUAGCUACAAACUAAUGACUCUAACUCAACUAUAAACUAGCCUACAAAUCAACUUAAGACAAAAAUGU